AUGUCUACCGAAUGGGAAGGGGUAGAAGCCAAGAAGCCUCUCUUGGUGGCCCGGAACAGCAGCGUUUCUUCGAUUUGGGUGGUGGUCGCUAGCACCACGGUCGCCGUUGCUGGAUCCUUCGUGUUCGGCAUCUCGGUGGGCUACUCUUCGCCAUCUCAGAAGGGCAUCAUGCGGGAUCUUCAUCUUUCCUUAGCAGAGUAUUCUGUCUUUGGCUCGAUAUUAACCAUAGGAGCAAUGCUGGGCGCUAUUGUCAGCGGUACCAUAGCAGAUCGAGUUGGCCGAAGAUGUGCAAUGGCAAUAUCAGAUGUGUUCUGCAUUCUUGGAUAUCUCCUUAUAGCCUUUUCUAAGAACUCUGUGUGGCUUGACCUUGGGAGGCUCUCAAUUGGAUGUGGAAUUGGCCUUCUUUCCUAUGUGGUCCCAGUAUAUAUAUCAGAGAUAACACCCAAGAAUCUUAGAGGACGGUUCGCAGCCGUAAACCAGUUUAUGAUAUGUUGUGGGGCAUCGCUCGCGUAUGCUCUGGGGACAUGUAUCACCUGGCGUACCUUGGCAAUCGUAGGAGUGACACCAUGUUUACUGCAGCUGGCUGGCCUUCUUGUGAUUCCCGAAUCUCCCAGGUGGCUGGCUAAGAUCAGACACUCAGGUGCACUUGAGGAAGCGUUACAGAAGCUAAGGGGAAAAGAAACGGACAUCUCUGAAGAGGCAGCCGAUAUCAAAGAUUUCACGGAAAAGCUUCAGCAACUACCACAGUCAAAGAUGUUGGACCUAUUUCAGAAAGAUUAUAUUCAUGCUGUCACCGUUGGAGUUGGGCUAAUGGUCCUUCAACAGUUUGGUGGAGUGAAUGCAAUCUGCUUCUACGCCAGUGAGAUAUUUGUUUCGGCUGGUUUCUCGUCAGGGAACACUGGAAUGCUCGCUAUGGUUGCGGUUCAGAUUCCGAUGACGGCACUUGGGGUGCUUCUGUUGGACAAGGCUGGAAGGAGGCCACUUCUAAUGGUCUGUGCAGCUGGGACAUGCCUGGGUUGCCUACUAGUUGGCCUGUCAUUCUUGUCCAAGGAACAUCAUUGGGCGAAGGACCUCAAUGUGGCAUUGGCAUUGACGGGGAUUCUGAUCUUCCCCAUACACAUGAAAGGGUCAGCAGGAAGCCUGGUGACCUUGGUGAGCUGGCUCGGCUCAUGGAUCGUCUCGUAUGCCUUCAACUUCCUCCUGCUGUGGAGCUCCUACGGUACAUUUUUCAUGUUCGCGAGCAUUUGCGGUCUGACUGUUGUAUUUGUGGAGCGCCUGGUACCAGAGACUAAAGGAAGGACCCUGGAAGAGAUUCAAGCGUCCAUGAACUCGUCAUUGACGCCAGUUUCUAAUGGAAUUAACCGACCUGUCUAA
This 1374-nucleotide ribosomal RNA is filed under the name Triticum aestivum (bread wheat). Its description in RNAcentral is "partial small subunit ribosomal RNA". The record is from RNAcentral. Lineage: Eukaryota; Viridiplantae; Streptophyta; Magnoliopsida; Poales; Poaceae.